UUUGACCUCAGAUCAGGCAGGACUACCCGCUGAACUUAAGCAUAUCAAUAAGCGGAGGAAAAGAAACUAACAAGGAUUCCCCUAGUAACGGCGAGUGAAGAGGGAAGAGCUCAAAUUUGAAAUCUGGCGGCCUUGCGGUCGUCCGAGUUGUAAUCUAGAGAAGUGUUUUCCGUGCUGGACCGUGUACAAGUCCUUUGGAACAAGGCGUCAUAGAGGGUGAGAAUCCCGUCUACGACACGGACUACCAGUGCUCUGUGAUACACUCUCAACGAGUCGAGUUGUUUGGGAAUGCAGCUCAAAAUGGGUGGUAAAUUCCAUCUAAAGCUAAAUAUGGGCGAAAGACCGAUAGCGAACAAGUACCGUGAGGGAAAGAUGAAAAGCACUUUGGAAAGAGAGUUAAACAGUACGUGAAAUUGUUGAAAGGGAAACGCUUGAAGUCAGUCGCGUCUUCAGAAACUCAGCCUGGCUUCUGCCUGGUGUACUUUUCUGUGGGACGGGCCAGCAUCAGUUUCGGCCGCCAGAAAAAGGUGGGAGGAAGGUGGCACCUCCGGGUGUGUAUAGCCUCUCAUCGUAUGUGGCGGCGGGGACUGAGGACCGCAGCACGCCUUUAUGGCCGGGGUUCGCCCACGUACCGUGCUUAGGAUGCUGGCGUAAUGGCUUUAAACGACCCGUCUUGAAACACGGACCAAGGAGUCUAACAUGCCUGCGAGUAUUUGGGUGGUAAACCCAUAUGCGGAAUGAAAGUGAACAGUUGGGACUUCUGUCAUGGAAGGCACCGACGCCCGGACCAGACCUAUUGUGACGGAUCCGAGGUAGAGCAUGUAUGUUGGGACCCGAAAGAUGGUGAACUAUGCCUGAGUAGGGUGAAGCCAGAGGAAACUCUGGUGGAGGCUCGUAGCGAUUCUGACGUGCAAAUCGAUCGUCGAACUUGGGUAUAGGGGCGAAAGACUAAUCGA
Molecule: ribosomal RNA, 956 nt
Filed under: Geastrum aff. lageniforme MA-Fungi 78398
Lineage: Eukaryota; Fungi; Basidiomycota; Agaricomycetes; Geastrales; Geastraceae
Description: eukaryotic LSU rRNA
Rfam family: Eukaryotic large subunit ribosomal RNA
Source: RNAcentral